Molecule: ribosomal RNA, 303 nt
Filed under: uncultured bacterium
Lineage: Bacteria
Description: partial 16S ribosomal RNA
Rfam family: Bacterial small subunit ribosomal RNA
Source: RNAcentral
AGCAGCAGCCGCGGUAAUACAGAGGGUGCGAGCGUUAAUCGGAUUUACUGGGCGUAAAGCGUGCGUAGGCGGCUAAUUGAGUCGGAUGUGAAAUCCCCGAGCUUAACUUGGGAAUUGCAUUCGAUACUGGUUAGCUAGAGUGUGGGAGAGGAUGGUAGAAUUCCAGGUGUAGCGGUGAAAUGCGUAGAGAUCUGGAGGAAUACCGAUGGCGAAGGCAGCCAUCUGGCCUAACACUGACGCUGAGGUACGAAAGCAUGGGGAGCAAACAGGAUUAGAUACCCCAGUAGUCCCUGUCUCUUAUAA